This 164-nucleotide ribosomal RNA is filed under the name Camellia japonica. RNAcentral's name for it is "5.8S ribosomal RNA". It matches the Rfam family "5.8S ribosomal RNA". Rfam says of the family: 5.8S ribosomal RNA (5.8S rRNA) is a component of the large subunit of the eukaryotic ribosome. It is transcribed by RNA polymerase I as part of the 45S precursor that also contains 18S and 28S rRNA. The record is from RNAcentral. RNAcentral also lists the same sequence under 68 other names. Lineage: Eukaryota; Viridiplantae; Streptophyta; Magnoliopsida; Ericales; Theaceae.
UAAACGACUCUCGGCAACGGAUAUCUCGGCUCUCGCAUCGAUGAAGAACGUAGCGAAAUGCGAUACUUGGUGUGAAUUGCAGAAUCCCGCGAACCAUCGAGUCUUUGAACGCAAGUUGCGCCCGAAGCCAUUAGGUUGAGGGCACGUCUGCCUGGGCGUCUCAC